Tripterygium wilfordii is the source of this 2227-nucleotide RNA transcript. RefSeq lists it as uncharacterized. The record is from RefSeq and is a predicted model, not a curated record. NCBI's taxonomy places the organism in Eukaryota, Viridiplantae, Streptophyta, Magnoliopsida, Celastrales, Celastraceae. The transcript has 6 exons.
CGCGCGGUUCCCCGACUUGCCUAUUUUGAACAUGCAUCCACCCUGAGUAACGAGAGAACCUCCAAAUUCAUCUUACAGUGACACUUCGUUCAAUUUUAGGGUUUAUACACUCCUGUUUCUCUCAUUCUGCGAUCUGCUCUUCCUCUCCCUCCCUCUCCCUAUCCUCUCAUCAAAUCAAACGAGUAUCCUUUCUUCUCCGCUUCUGCUUCUACCCUAACUUCGGAAGCGAAGGCAGCAGAACUACUUUCAGCUCUGGAGCACUUAAGCAUCACUCGAUUAUCUCGACAUAACUUUAGCGGUCGAUCACCGAUGCCACCACCAAACGAUGGAAAAGUGUCAUCGAAGGACCGCCUUCAACCUCCGUUUUAGAGAGAUUGUCUAAUUUUCCCAUUCGGAUGUGUUCAGAGCUCGCAAUUUUCUCUCUCCUGCCAGAGCGUUACUGUACGGAGCGAGAAUCUGACUCUACGUCUUCACCGCUCGAAGCUCCCAAGGAAGCCGAUGGAAGGCUGACGAACUGGCUAGUUAUUCAAGUGGAAUGCUUCAUCUGCUGAAAUUAUUUGAGCCAUGAGGUCCAUGAAGGAAAUUUCAGAUAUGGGAAUUUGUCAAGGAGGUUAGCAAAGCAUCAAUGAAAAUGGAUAUCUGUAUGUGAGCAAAAAAACAGAGCAAGAUAGUAAUUUCCUUGCUAAGGAAGCCCGCCGGGCUGCCCAUUCUAUGGAAAUCAGUCUUGAAAAGGUUGGAUUCAUCUCUUCACAGGUAUUUGUCCUUUUAUUGCUGACUUUGUUUGGCCUUAGGAUGAUAGCAAUAUUGUCGCCAUCUUUCAGAAGAUAAGCCUCCUUUUUCUUUGUUGCUGUUGGAGAAAUUCAAUUGAGUAAAUCAUUUAUGUAGCCAUCUUUCGGCUGUGCUGGGGGAGAGAGUAAUUGAUGAAGACUUGCUGGUAUGAUCAUGUGGUAUUACCAGCUCAAAACUUUUGUUGCAAAUAACAUUUAGUUCAACUUCAACUUAUUAAUUUAGCCUGCUUUUUUUUUUGACAUUAGACAGAAUGAGUAUGUUGGCGGGUAUGUCAGUUAAAUUAGGUAAUGAUUAAAGUUUUUUGUAAUGUGUUGUUGAAAUGCUAUAUUGUUUUUCUAUUAAAGUAAACAUAAAACAACUUUCUACAAGAUUGCAAUGCUGUUUUCCAACUAAGAAGUAAGGAUGAACAUGAUUAUGUUGGUAGAAAUGACAAACUAUGUGGUGCUUAAAAUGCGAGUGCCAAUAUUUUUAACUUAUUUGGGGGUUAAUAGCUUUCUGAUGGGUUUACACUUGAAAAUAUCUUCAUUCAUUCUCAUCCCACCAAAGCAAUGUCCUAAGAGAGAAACAAGAUAACCUGAAUACUUAGCUUGCAAUUUGUUACAUUUUGUCACUCUUUAUUAGGAACAUUGGCUAGAUUUACCGUAGGCUUCUAAACGUUAUAUUCUACUACAGUUUGAGUGCAAUGCUGUUCAAAUCUCAUGAAAUUUUGUUUUUUGUCAUAAUUAUUUAAUCACUGGUGAGUAGAAACUCUGUUUCACGAUUAUGGAAAUGCUACUCUUUCCAUUCUCUCCAGAAUACUAGUCGUUCUGAUGCUGAACAAAUUGGCGUUGGCUUGUCAUUUUGACUUUAUUUAAUUAAUCUUCAUUGUGCUUUGUAGGGGUUCUAGGGCGGCACUUUUCUCAGCCGAGACAAGCUUCAAGCCUCUUUGAGUAUUAUACACGGGACCACUGUGCCUCAAAGAUAUUUGCUUGACACUACUCAAAUGGUACCUGACACAUUGUUGAAGACUAAGCAAGGUGCCAGAGACAUGUUUGCAGUGAUUGAAUUGCAACACGAGCCACCCUCACCUGGACAUGCAAGUUCUCUUGUUGCUUAGUUGAAAAGACAGCAUACUUGGUAGCUGGAAGCAUGUGUUUGGUACACAUUGGCAGAUGCGACUUGUCAUCUAAAAAACUAUGGGACAGGUAUGUUUGAACUAAUCUGGUGGUUUUAUCGUGAUGACAGUGUGCAAUCUUUGAUAUGUAAACAUGAGUGUUCAGCAUCAUACUAUUAUAGUAUUAUGUAACUACCAGGCUCAGUUCCAUCAAUUAUAAGACAUGAGAGGCUUCGGGCAUGCACUGUGUGUUUCACAUUCAUGUGUGCACAUAAAAGAAUGCAUGCAUAGGGUUAAUUGUGAAGAAAUAUGCAUUUAAUUUCCAAGUUAACCUACUGUUUCUUC